This 548-nucleotide ribosomal RNA is filed under the name marine gamma proteobacterium SWFL1. RNAcentral describes it as "bacterial SSU rRNA". It matches the Rfam family "Bacterial small subunit ribosomal RNA", at positions 36 to 568 of the family's 1533-position model. Lineage: Bacteria; Pseudomonadati; Pseudomonadota; Gammaproteobacteria. The record is from RNAcentral.
CUGGCGGCAGGCCUAACACAUGCAAGUCGAGCGGUAACAGAUUGAUAGCUUGCUAUCAAUGCUGACGAGCGGCGGACGGGUGAGUAAUGCCUGGGAAUAUGCCCUGAUGUGGGGGAUAACUAUUGGAAACGAUAGCUAAUACCGCAUAAUCUCUUCGGAGCAAAGAGGGGGACCUUCGGGCCUCUCGCGUCAGGAUUAGCCCAGGUGGGAUUAGCUUGUUGGUGGGGUAAUGGCUCACCAAGGCGACGAUCCCUAGCUGGUCUGAGAGGAUGAUCAGCCACACUGGAACUGAGACACGGUCCAGACUCCUACGGGAGGCAGCAGUGGGGAAUAUUGCACAAUGGGGGAAACCCUGAUGCAGCCAUGCCGCGUGUAUGAAGAAGGCCUUCGGGUUGUAAAGUACUUUCAGUUGUGAGGAAGGCAGUAAAGUUAAUAGCUUUAUUGUUUGACGUUAGCAACAGAAGAAGCACCGGCUAACUCCGUGCCAGCAGCCCGCGGUAAUACGGAGGGUGCGAGCGUUAAUCGGGAAUUACUUGGGCGUAAAGCGC